Molecule: ribosomal RNA, 460 nt
Filed under: uncultured bacterium
Lineage: Bacteria
Description: partial 16S ribosomal RNA
Rfam family: Bacterial small subunit ribosomal RNA
Source: RNAcentral
CCUACGGGGGGCAGCAGUGAGGAAUAUUGGUCAAUGGGCGCGAGCCUGAACCAGCCAAGUAGCGUGAAGGAUGACUGUCCUACGGGUUGUAAACCUCUUUUAUAAAGGAAUAAAGUCAGGCACGUGUCCCUUGUUGUAUGUACUUUAUGAAUAAGGAUCGGCUAACUCCGUGCCAGCAGCCGCGGUAAUACGGAGGAUCCGAGCGUUAUCCGGAUUUAUUGGGUUUAAAGGGAGCGGAGAUGGGUUGUUAAGUCAGUUGUGAAAGUUUGCGGCUCAACCGUAAAACUGCAGUUGAUACUGGCAGCCUUGAGUACAGUUGAGGUAGGCGGAAUGCGUGGUGUAGCGGUGAAAUGCUUAGAUAUCACGAAGAACUCCGAUUGCGAAGGCAGCUUACUAACCUGCCACUGACAUUGAUGCUCGAAAGUGUGGGUAUCGAACAGGAUUAGAUACCCGAGUAGUC